GGCGAGAUGGCCGAGCGGUCUAAGGCGCUGUGUUAAGGUGAACAUUGCUCAUCUCCGCAGUCUUCGGACGUGGGUUCGAAUCCCACUCUCGUCA
This 94-nucleotide transfer RNA is filed under the name Trichosporon asahii var. asahii CBS 2479. Its description in RNAcentral is "tRNA-Leu". It matches the Rfam family "tRNA". Rfam says of the family: Transfer RNA (tRNA) molecules are approximately 80 nucleotides in length. Lineage: Eukaryota; Fungi; Basidiomycota; Tremellomycetes; Trichosporonales; Trichosporonaceae. RNAcentral also lists the same sequence under 1 other name. The record is from RNAcentral.